Molecule: transfer RNA, 72 nt
Filed under: Camelus bactrianus (Bactrian camel)
Lineage: Eukaryota; Metazoa; Chordata; Mammalia; Artiodactyla; Camelidae
Also listed under: 2 other names
Rfam family: tRNA
About the family: Transfer RNA (tRNA) molecules are approximately 80 nucleotides in length. Their secondary structure includes four short double-helical elements and three loops (D, anti-codon, and T loops).
Source: Rfam by way of RNAcentral
GAGCGUAUAGGUCAGUGGUAGAGCACAUGCUUAGUAUGCACGAGGUCCUGGGUUCAAUCCCCAGUCCCUCCA